RNAcentral lists this long non-coding RNA (460 nucleotides) under Pan troglodytes (chimpanzee). Its description in RNAcentral is "long non-coding RNA NONPTRT015289". Lineage: Eukaryota; Metazoa; Chordata; Mammalia; Primates; Hominidae. The record is from RNAcentral.
CCCCGCCGUUGCGGGGAGGGAGGCGCGGUUGGAUGCCCAGAAGAGAGCCCCACGAACGAGGAAAUGGGCACCGCUGCCUGGAGACCCCCCCAAAACACAACUGUAGCACCCAAGUACGGCAAUGGCCUCCCAGCCAUUCAGCAAGUGCCCUAAAGACGAAGUCCGAAAGACUAGAAUCCAGCCACACUCCUCUCCACGAAUGAGCCUUGGGAGCCACCAGGAGGGAAGGAGAGAAAGACACCAAAUAAAUGACCACAACCACAGGUAGAAUUUACCUGUCCGUUCGCUUUGGAAGGCGACGAGGCCACAGCCGCCUCCCCAGGCCUCUCCGCGGCGGCUUCUCCCUUCGCUGCGGUCUUGGAGAACUGGGCACCCAUGCUGGCUUCUUCAACAAAGAAACUCAACAGAUCCAAGAGGGGAAACAAAGAGCCUCGGGUUGGUGUAACGACUGGGCGAGCAG